GACGAACGCUGGCGGCGUGCCUAAUACAUGCAAGUCGAACGCAGUGGGGACGGGUGCGGAACACGUGGGUAACCUCCCAUCAGAGGGGAUAACACUUGGCAACAGGUGCUAAACCGAUACUGAUUGAUGGACCCGCGGUGCAUUAGCUAGUGGGGGGGGUAACGGCGCACCAAGGCCACGAUGCAUAGCUGGACGGAGAGGAUGAUCGGCCACACUGGGACUGAGACACGGCCCAGACUCCUACGGGAGGCAGCAGUGGGGAAUAUUCGGCAAUGGACGAAAGUCUGACCGAGCCACGCCGCGUGAGUGAAGAAGGUUUUCGGGUCGUAAAGCUCUGUUGGUAGAGAGGCGGUAUCUAACCAGAAAGCCACGGCUAACUACGUGCCAGCAGCCGCGGUAAUUC
This 403-nucleotide ribosomal RNA is filed under the name uncultured bacterium. RNAcentral describes it as "partial 16S ribosomal RNA". It matches the Rfam family "Bacterial small subunit ribosomal RNA", at positions 28 to 526 of the family's 1533-position model. The record is from RNAcentral.